GACGAACGCUGGCGGCGUGCUUAACACAUGCAAGUCGAACGAAGAGCGAUGGAAGCUUGCUUCUAUCAAUCUUAGUGGCGAACGGGUGAGUAACGCGUAAUCAACCUGCCCUUCAGAGGGGGACAACAGUUGGAAACGACUGCUAAUACCGCAUACGAUCUAAUCUCGGCAUCGAGGAUAGAUGAAAGGUGGCCUCUACAUGUAAGCUAUCACUGAAGGAGGGGAUUGCGUCUGAUUAGCUAGUUGGAGGGGUAACGGCCCACCAAGGCGAUGAUCAGUAGCCGGUCUGAGAGGAUGAACGGCCACAUUGGGACUGAGACACGGCCCAGACUCCUACGGGAGGCAGCAGUGGGGAAUCUUCCGCAAUGGACGAAAGUCUGACGGAGCAACGCCGCGUGAGUGAUGACGGCCUUCGGGUUGUAAAGCUCUGUUAAUUGGGACGAAAGGCCUUCUUGCGAAUAGUUAGGAGGAUUGACGGACCGAAUAGAAAGCCACG
RNAcentral lists this ribosomal RNA (496 nucleotides) under Veillonella parvula. RNAcentral's name for it is "bacterial SSU rRNA". It matches the Rfam family "Bacterial small subunit ribosomal RNA", at positions 28 to 495 of the family's 1533-position model. The record is from RNAcentral. Lineage: Bacteria; Bacillati; Bacillota; Negativicutes; Veillonellales; Veillonellaceae.